AACGCAACUUGCACUCAAUGGUAUUCCAUUGAGUACGCCUGUUUCAGUAUCAAAAACAUACCUUAUUCAAAUAUUUUGUUUGAAUAGACUUGAACGCCUUGACGGUGAGUAGCCGUUUCGUUCUAAAUCCAUUAGGCUUUUAGCUUGACAGCGGAAGUUUUUUUUUAAUUAAAAAAGGACAUGAAGCAACUAAGCUGGGCCUCCCAAAUAAAUUUUUAAAUUUGAUCUGAAAUCAGGUGGGAUUACCCGCUGAACUUAA
RNAcentral lists this unclassified non-coding RNA (259 nucleotides) under uncultured Mucorales. RNAcentral's name for it is "sequence contains 5.8S rRNA gene, ITS2, 28S rRNA gene". The record is from RNAcentral. Lineage: Eukaryota; Fungi; Mucoromycota; Mucoromycetes; Mucorales.